This 370-nucleotide long non-coding RNA is filed under the name Hordeum vulgare. RNAcentral's name for it is "long non-coding RNA (HVUL_LNC016327)". Lineage: Eukaryota; Viridiplantae; Streptophyta; Magnoliopsida; Poales; Poaceae. The record is from RNAcentral.
CGCCACGAUUCUGUAGGACACAUGCACGGGCUUGACGUCCCUGAUAGCCAGCUCCUCCAGCCCCAGCUCGCCCCACGCCGCAGCUUCCAGCGCGUGGCCGGCGCCGUCCUUCUUCAGGCCAUCCGCCGUGACCGACGUCUCGACGGCCGUCGCCCCGCGGGCGGGGUCUCCGGGGGCGACGACGAGCGUGAAGCGCGACGGCCUGUUCGCCCCGAGCUCCUCGCUCGCCCGGUCGAUGCAGGCCGCCGCGAGCGCGCGGAGGUCGCCUGACGCGGCCCUGAAGAGCACGGUCUGGGCGUGGACGCCGUCGGCGGCGACGGAGUCGACGGGGAAGGACCUGAUGCGCUUGCAGCAGAUCUCCGGGCGCUGG